Molecule: ribosomal RNA, 395 nt
Filed under: uncultured bacterium
Lineage: Bacteria
Description: bacterial SSU rRNA
Rfam family: Bacterial small subunit ribosomal RNA
Source: RNAcentral
ACCUAAGAGAUUAGGCGUUCCCUUCGGGGACGGAAUGACAGGUGGUGCAUGGUUGUCGUCAGCUCGUGUCGUGAGAUGUUGGGUUAAGUCCCGCAACGAGCGCAACCCUUAUUGUCAGUUGCCAGCAUUUAGUUGGGCACUCUGGCGAGACUGCCGGUGACAAACCGGAGGAAGGUGGGGAUGACGUCAAAUCAUCAUGCCCCUUAUGACCUGGGCUACACACGUGCUACAAUGGAUGGUACAACGAGUUGCGAGACCGCGAGGUCAAGCUAAUCUCUUAAAGCCAUUCUCAGUUCGGACUGUAGGCUGCAACUCGCCUACACGAAGUCGGAAUCGCUAGUAAUCGCGGAUCAGCACGCCGCGGUGAAUACGUUCCCGGGUCUUGUACACACCGA